RNAcentral lists this unclassified non-coding RNA (2405 nucleotides) under Leishmania donovani. RNAcentral's name for it is "gene:unknown". Lineage: Eukaryota; Euglenozoa; Kinetoplastea; Trypanosomatida; Trypanosomatidae. The record is from RNAcentral.
GCGCCAGUGACUGCAGCUCGUGGCCUUCUCCACUCUCUGCGUGUGCGCACGUGUCCAUCCAUAUUUUUUUUUGUAGCUUCUUAUCCUGCCACCGCAGUGUUUCCACACGCACACACACACACACACACACAGACACCGCCCGCUCAAAGAUUCGGGAGCACCCUCUGCACACGAGGGUAUUGGUCUCCCUGCCCCUGCGCACCGCAUGGACAACUACUCGGCGACCGGCUUCGAUGGCUACGCGGUGAAGGGGUGCUUGUUUCCUAGUCGGACGACGCCACGUAUGGCGCGGGACUGUGCCUCGCCUGCGUCUUGUGCGGGUCCACGUUGAUAGCCAAGUACCAGUACGGCGGCAACGAAGCCCAGCGUGGCAGCGUGAAAGUUGGUGUGAAUGCGCUACCCGUAGAUUGUCUCGAACCUUCUGCACCUUAUCUCCUCUUGUUGCGGCUCGUCGAGCGUCACGCCGCCUGUGAUCUACAGAAUACGCAAGCACGUUCCCCUCAAUACCCUCUACGGGCUGCACGAGUACUUCGCGCGGGCCUCAUCGCCAUAGAGGUCUGCCUGUUCGCUUUCUCCAAGAACCCCGAGCGCAUUGACGGCAUCUUAAUUGUGCUCCGAGGUCGUCGAAACCUGUCGUUUCUGCGGUGGAUCUAUCACGUUCCCACUUUCCUGCGCUGCUCGCACGCCUAAGCUGUCGGCAGCAGCAUGCUGAGCUACGCCGCGGCGCUCUACUAUUCGGUGCACAUCGUCGUGCACCUAGGCGUGGCCGAGGGUGAGGUUCGAGAACACGGCGCGCCCGUUCCUGAUGUAGAUCACGCCGAUGCAGACUGCGCGGGUGGUAACUGAUCGUGUGCUCGUGUCCAUCAUUAGUUAGAACAAGGCGCUCGGCCACCAGGCUCGCCGCCCGGAGCUGAACCCGCUGGCGUGAGGUGGCACUUCCUGGGACACUGCACGCGUGCAGCUGCUCCUCGCCGUCGCGAACCUCUUCCUCUUUUCCCACAUGUUCUUGCACGUGCACAAGAAGUCGCGCUUCGAUGGCUCCAAAAAGAAGGUGAGCUAAUAUAGACGGGCCGAAGGACGUCCGCAGGGGCAGUGGCCGCACGGGCGCAUGUGCGCACAGGAAGCUUGAUGUGUGAGAACGCCCACGAGAAGGGGAGACAAAGAGAGAAAUGAGAGGUAGCCGGGACGCCAUGAGCCGUGGGUGAUUGAAGAAGAGUCACCCCCACCCCCACCCCCGGGCGUGUGUGUGUGGGGGGAGGGGGGGAAUAGAGGGCGAGAGGAAGCGCGUUGCGCUCGCAGUGCGGCGGUGACGCUUCGACGCACCGUGUCUCGCUCGCUCGCCCCUGCGCAUGCGCAUACACGCAGGUGCAGAGACUCACACACGGACAAGCUCGUACACCAAGACACAUUCGCACAGCUCUGCCCUUCACACGCCCCCUGCCCUCUCCCCGCCUCUACGCCACAUGCGUGUUCUUCUCUCUCAGGCGUUGUGGUCACAUUCUUUCAAAUUUGACAAGAAAACAUUCCGCAAACCUGCUCACUUUUUUGACUUGUUGCCGCUGUUACCUGCUCCACCUAGCGUCAUCUCUUACUUCCUUCAUGUUUGCAGCGCGCGCACGCACACACCUCAUCGUUUUGUGUGCUGGCUUCUCUAGUAGCCUUGCAACGUCAACACCACCUCCGCUGCCUCUGUCGUUGCACCGCGUCGCGGCAUACAGAAUUCGGUGCCUCCUCUUCGUUUUCUCUCGUCGUCCCUUGCUACUCUGGGCCAUUUUUGUUUCUCCCAGUGCACUCCAUGCAUGGACAACACCUUAGCCGCUGCCCCCGAAAACAGAGAAACAGACACACACGACAGCACCCUUCGCUCCCUUCCUCUCAAGCACCUCACACACACCUCCGCCCACCGUCGAGCACGCACGCACCUGUUUCGCUUGUUUUUUGGUGAUUCAAGCGUUCCCGAAUGUACGUGUUUCCUCUUCUUUCUUGGUCAUGGAUGUGCUUUACGGGUCCAGACGGUUAGGGUCGAGAUGGCUAUGCUUGUGUUGGGAAGCGGGGGUGAGAGAGUGUUUGAGGAGUCCGUCAAUUUAGGUGGGGUCUGUGUGUGCACGCGUGCGUGAGCUUUUCGCGUGCAUCACUGGCUGAGAGAGGACAAGCACAAAAAGGGAAAAAAAAGAAGAGAAAACGAAGAGCGCGGCGGAUACCCUUCUCUGUGUGUGUGUGUGUGUGCGAGGGGAUGAGCCCUUCAUGGCCGCCGCCUUCUCCCCCUUCCCCCCCUCCCCCGCGCUACCCAGUACCUCUGCAGCGGCCACCCCCCUCUUAUCGGCGUGCCUCAAAGACACCUGUGCAAGCCAAAGCCCGCCUUCGCACCUUCUCUCUCACCGGUGUUGUGCGACCCCUCACCGCCU